This 118-nucleotide ribosomal RNA is filed under the name Microcoleus sp. The record is from RNAcentral. RNAcentral also lists the same sequence under 2 other names. Lineage: Bacteria; Bacillati; Cyanobacteriota; Cyanophyceae; Oscillatoriales; Microcoleaceae.
CUAGGUGUCUAUGACGCAGUGGCACCACUCCGAUUCCAUCCCGAACUCGGUUGUUAAACGCUGUGGUGGCGAAGAUAUUUGGCGGGUCACUGCCUGAGAAAAUAGCUCGAUGCCUGGU